AAGAAUGUGUUGGUGAGCAGCAGUUACAUGCGGCGCGGAGAGCAGCAGCCCGCCCAGGUUAAGUCUGCAGCUAAGGGCAGACAUGCGCACUAUGAAAUAAACAAAAGUUGCGUGCAUUGCCACCCACCGCACAGUCAUACACACGCACACAACUUGUGCGCCUGUGUUGGUGAGCACACAACGGCGCAGUGAGCGAACGCCAGAGAGUGGCAACCUCAUCGUCGACGACAACAGCGGCGGCCACCAACUAAGGGCAGACAUGCGCACUAAGAGACAGCACAUAUAUUUGGACUUAUUUUAAUGUGGCCCAGGCACACGCAUAUUUGCAUGAGGAGCUGGCACACCGACAACACAAUACACAUGAGCUGGGAGAAGUGUGUGUUUUAGUGCUACAUUUGGUUUGUUGUAUUUGGUAAAAGUACAAUUUAUAAAUAUACAAGUAUUCUAUGAUUGCA
This is a long non-coding RNA of Drosophila montana, 455 nucleotides long. RefSeq lists it as uncharacterized. NCBI's taxonomy places the organism in Eukaryota, Metazoa, Arthropoda, Insecta, Diptera, Drosophilidae. The transcript has 2 exons. The record is from RefSeq and is a predicted model, not a curated record.